This 239-nucleotide ribosomal RNA is filed under the name uncultured bacterium. Its description in RNAcentral is "partial 16S ribosomal RNA". It matches the Rfam family "Bacterial small subunit ribosomal RNA", at positions 95 to 334 of the family's 1533-position model. The record is from RNAcentral.
CCGGCGCACGGUGAGUAACACGUAUCCAACCUGCCGUCUACUCUUGGCCAGCCUUCUGAAGGAAGAUUAAUCCAGGAUGGGAUCAUGAGUUCACAUGUCCGCAUGAUUAAAGGUAUUUUCCGGUAGACGAUGGGGAUGCGUUCCAUUAGAUAGUAGGCGGGGUAACGGCCCACCUAGUCAACGAUGGAUAGGGGUUCUGAGAGGAAGGUCCCCCACAUUGGAACUGAGACACGGUCCAA